CUCCCUCCCGGCCAGGAUCUCGCCGGCUCCAUCACACGCAAAGCCACUCCCUCCCAUCGAGGCCAAAGCCUCAACCAGGAGAGAGGACCGGACGGCUCGGCACCAGAGAAUCCGGAAGAAGGUGGAGGGCACCCCGGAGAGGCCGAGGAUGGCCAUAUUCCGGUCCAACAAGCACCUGUACGUCCAGGUGAUUGAUGACAGCAAGAUGCAUACCUUGGCGGCUGCUUCAACGAUGCAGAAGGCUAUCUUGGAGGGAUUUGAUUACUCUGCCGGACCAACCAUUGAGGUGGCGAAGAAGGUUGGUGAAGUGAUUGCCAAGAAUUGCUUGGAGAAGGGUAUUGCGAAGGUGGCUUUCGACCGAGGUGGUUAUCCUUACCACGGAAGGAUUCAGGCUCUUGCCGACGCUGCUCGAGAAAAUGGCCUAGAGUUCUAAAUUGUUACAGUUUUUCGGAUGAAGUCCUUGUUUUGUAUUAUCCCCGAUUAACUUUGGUGCUAAUGAAUCUGG
Molecule: unclassified non-coding RNA, 505 nt
Filed under: Hevea brasiliensis (rubber tree)
Lineage: Eukaryota; Viridiplantae; Streptophyta; Magnoliopsida; Malpighiales; Euphorbiaceae
Source: RNAcentral